Molecule: transfer RNA, 75 nt
Filed under: Chloroflexota bacterium
Lineage: Bacteria; Bacillati; Chloroflexota
Also listed under: 2 other names
Description: tRNA-Thr
Rfam family: tRNA
About the family: Transfer RNA (tRNA) molecules are approximately 80 nucleotides in length. Their secondary structure includes four short double-helical elements and three loops (D, anti-codon, and T loops). Further hydrogen bonds mediate the characteristic L-shaped molecular structure. tRNAs have two regions of fundamental functional importance: the anti-codon, which is responsible for specific mRNA codon recognition, and the 3' end, to which the tRNAs corresponding amino acid is attached (by aminoacyl-tRNA synthetases). tRNAs cope with the degeneracy of the genetic code in two manners: having more than one tRNA (with a specific anti-codon) for a particular amino acid; and 'wobble' base-pairing, i.e. permitting non-standard base-pairing at the 3rd anti-codon position.
Source: RNAcentral
GCCCCGGUGGCGCAAUGGCAGCGCAGUCGAUUUGUAAUUGACAGGUUAGGGGUUCGAAUCCCCUCUGGGGCUCCA